This 67-nucleotide small RNA is filed under the name Acididesulfobacillus acetoxydans. Its description in RNAcentral is "Peptococcaceae bacterium INE non-coding RNA". The record is from RNAcentral. Lineage: Bacteria; Bacillati; Bacillota; Clostridia; Eubacteriales; Peptococcaceae.
GUUUCAAUUCCUCAUAGGCAGGCUAUCGGCUUUAAGAGUAUGCUAUUAUAAUGUUAAAGACAAAUAG